GGUUAAGUUAGAAAGGGCGCACGGUGGAUGCCUUGACACUAGGAGUCGAUGAAGGACGGGACUAACGCCGAUAUGCUUCGGGGAGCUGUAAGUAAGCUUUGAUCCGAAGAUUUCCGAAUGGGGAAACCCACUAUACGUAAUGGUAUGGUAUCCUUACCUGAAUACAUAGGGUAUGGAAGACAGACCCAGGGAACUGAAACAUCUAAGUACCUGGAGGAAGAGAAAGCAAAUGCGAUUUCCUGAGUAGCGGCGAGCGAAACGGAAUCUAGCCCAAACCAAGAGGCUUGCCUCUUGGGGUUGUAGGACAUUCUAUACGGAGUUACAAAGGAACGAGGUAGACGAAGCGACCUGGAAAGGUCCGUCGUAGAGGGUAACAACCCCGUAGUCGAAACUUCGUUCUCUCUUGAAUGUAUCCUGAGUACGGCGGAACACGUGAAAUUCCGUCGGAAUCUGGGAGGACCAUCUCCCAAGGCUAAAUACUCCCUAGUGAUCGAUAGUGAACCAGUACCGUGAGGGAAAGGUGAAAAGCACCCCGGAAGGGGAGUGAAAGAGAUCCUGAAACCGUGUGCCUACAAAUAGUCAGAGCCCGUUAAUGGGUGAUGGCGUGCCUUUUGUAGAAUGAACCGGCGAGUUACGAUCCCGUGCGAGGUUAAGUUGAAGAGACGGAGCCGCAGCGAAAGCGAGUCUGAAUAGGGCGUUUAGUACGUGGUCGUAGACCCGAAACCAGGUGAUCUACCCAUGUCCAGGGUGAAGUUCAGGUAACACUGAAUGGAGGCCCGAACCCACGCACGUUGAAAAGUGCGGGGAUGAGGUGUGGGUAGCGGAGAAAUUCCAAUCGAACCUGGAGAUAGCUGGUUCUCCCCGAAAUAGCUUUAGGGCUAGCCUUAAGUGUAAGAGUCUUGGAGGUAGAGCACUGAUUGAACUAGGGGUCCUCAUCGGAUUACCGAAUUCAGUCAAACUCCGAAUGCCAAUGACUUAUCCUUAGGAGUCAGACUGCGAGUGAUAAGAUCCGUAGUCAAGAGGGAAACAGCCCAGAUCGCCAGCUAAGGUCCCAAAGUGUGUAUUAAGUGGAAAAGGAUGUGGAGUUGCUUAGACAACUAGGAUGUUGGCUUAGAAGCAGCCACCAUUUAAAGAGUGCGUAAUAGCUCACUAGUCGAGUGACUCUGCGCCGAAAAUGUACCGGGGCUAAAUACACCACCGAAGCUGCGAAUUGAUACC
RNAcentral lists this ribosomal RNA (1218 nucleotides) under Bacillus toyonensis. RNAcentral describes it as "partial 23S ribosomal RNA". It matches the Rfam family "Bacterial large subunit ribosomal RNA", at positions 1 to 1214 of the family's 2925-position model. RNAcentral also lists the same sequence under 1 other name. The record is from RNAcentral. Lineage: Bacteria; Bacillati; Bacillota; Bacilli; Caryophanales; Bacillaceae.